Molecule: long non-coding RNA, 1349 nt
Filed under: Monodelphis domestica (gray short-tailed opossum)
Lineage: Eukaryota; Metazoa; Chordata; Mammalia; Didelphimorphia; Didelphidae
Description: lncRNA (ENSMODG00000032796.2)
Source: RNAcentral
ACACCAGAUGCCCAACGUUAGGGGGGUGGCUAUGCGGUCAUCUGAAAGACAGAGAAGGGGUUACAUGACUUCUUUAUUUCUGAAUGAAUUUAUUGGAUGACCAAGGAAGGUAUGGGCCAGGGUUCAACAUUUGCCUAGUUUGUGGUGCCUUUGAACAAUGGAGACGGCCCCAUCUCUUGGGAUUAUUAACUCUACUGUCCUCUGGUGAACUAAAUAGGGCUUCACCCAACACUAACAGUAUCUGGCAAAUCUGGCAAAACAUGGAAUCAUCAGAGGAGAAAAAAAGCCAAGCAGAAUGUCCAAAUGUGUCCAUGUCUAGAAAAGUAUCUCUUCUUCUCCCCCUUGUGGCCAGGCAACUUUGCAAUGAAGAAACUCCAUUCACCCAACCAAGGCAGGUCAAACAAAGCUCCUGCUCUUUCAGCCUUAGGGAGUUGCCUGCAGCCUGGAGAAGCUAAGCAACUUGUCCAUGAUCAUCCAGACAAUCCAUAUCAGAGAUGUCACUUGAACCCAGAUCCUUCUAACUCAGCAGCUAGCUCCCUCUCCAGGAUACUACACAGCCACUCAAAUGCUAGCAAUAUACAACCAUUUACUCAUAAUGUGACCUUGGACUUGUCUCUCUGGGUCUCAGUUUCCUCCUCUAUAAAAAGAAGGGGUUGCACUUGCUAGUCUCCAAAGUUCCUUCCAGCUCAGACAUUUUGAGAUACUUUUGUCCAUUUGCUGUGUGAUGGUAAACAAGUCUGUCUCCUUGAAUUUUCCCAUCUACCAGGUGCAAAUAGCAAGAUUUGCUUUUCAAAAGAAAGAUGGAGCCCUAAAGGGGAAUGAACUGCUUUGGGAAGUAGGAGGCUCCUCAUCACUAGAAGAUUUUUGACAACUGGUGGCAGAUCUAAGAAGCAGAAAGGCAUAGUGGGUAAAGUACUGUGUCAGGAAGACACAAGUUCAAAUCCUAUCUUUGAUACUUAGCAGCUGUGGGCACUCCAGGCAACCCUUAGGUUCCUCACCUAUAAACUGAGGAAUUUGGACUCCAUGGCUCCUAAGGAUCCCUCCCUCCUAGCUCAAAAAUAAUCUCCCUUUGUAGAGAGAAUUCCUGCUCAGUUAUAAAUUGGGGCAGAUGGCCAUUAAGGACCUUACAAACUGAAGUUUCCGUGAUCCCAGGGUAAUAUUGCCUGCUUUGUCUCCUUCAUAAUAAGGCUGUGAAGAUAAAAAUGAGAUAACAAAUGUCAACACUUUGAACUGUUCAAAACAUAGCACAAAUAUAAGGUACUAUAAAAUCUCCAACUGAAUUAAGGAAAACAAGUCUUUUGUCUCUCUUUCACAAUUAAAAUAAAAUAAAAUAAAAUAAAAUCUAACCA